UGGGGAAUAUUGGACAAUGGGGGCAACCCUGAUCCAGCCAUGCCGCGUGAGUGAUGAAGGCCUUAGGGUUGUAAAGCUCUUUUGGCAGGGACGAUAAUGACGGUACCUGCAGAAUAAGCCCCGGCUAACUUCGUGCCAGCAGCCGCGGUAAUACGAAGGGGGCUAGCGUUGUUCGGAAUUACUGGGCGUAAAGCGCGCGUAGGCGGACUGGUCAGUUGGGGGUGAAAUCCCGGGGCUCAACCUCGGAACUGCCUUCAAUACUGCCAGUCUCGAGUCCGGGAGAGGUGAGUGGAAUUCCUAGUGUAGAGGUGAAAUUCGUAGAUAUUAGGAAGAACACCAGUGGCGAAGGCGGCUCACUGGCCCGGUACUGACGCUGAGGUGCGAAAGCGUGGGGAGCAAACAGGAUUAGAUACCCCCGUAGUCC
RNAcentral lists this ribosomal RNA (424 nucleotides) under uncultured prokaryote. RNAcentral describes it as "bacterial SSU rRNA". It matches the Rfam family "Bacterial small subunit ribosomal RNA", at positions 355 to 796 of the family's 1533-position model. The record is from RNAcentral.